GACGUAGGGUCCAAGCGUUGUCCGGAUUUACUGGGCGUAAAGAGCGCGUAGGCGGUCCGUUAAGUGUGAAGUGAAAUCUCCAGAGCUCAACUCGGAAACUGCUUCGCAUACUGGCGGACUUGAGGAAUGCAGAGGUGAAUAGAAUUCCUGGUGUAGCGGUGAAAUUCGUAGAUAUUAGGAAGAACACCAGUGGCGAAGGCGGCUCACUGGUCCGGUACUGACGCUGAGGUGCGAAAGCGUGGGGAGCAAACAGG
Molecule: ribosomal RNA, 254 nt
Filed under: uncultured bacterium
Lineage: Bacteria
Description: partial 16S ribosomal RNA
Rfam family: Bacterial small subunit ribosomal RNA
Source: RNAcentral